RNAcentral lists this long non-coding RNA (1218 nucleotides) under Anas platyrhynchos platyrhynchos (common mallard). RNAcentral's name for it is "lncRNA (ENSAPLG00000027292.1)". Lineage: Eukaryota; Metazoa; Chordata; Aves; Anseriformes; Anatidae. The record is from RNAcentral.
GGCAAGGCAGCCCCCGGCCGCCCUCGCACACAAAGCGGCGGCGAGCGGAGCGGAGCGGCUCAGCACCCCGCCUCCUGCCCCCGCCGCUCUCCGGCUCGCCGCCCCGCGGGCCGCCCUGCCAUCGCGCCGGGGGCGGGCGGGGGGCGGGCGGGGGGGGCCGGGCGGCGACGGCGACGACGACAACAACAACAACAACACACAGCACCCGGCCCGGGCGUACUCCCUGCGCUUUUUUUCCUUUUUUUUUUUCCCUUUUUUUCCCUUAUUUCCUUUUUUUCCCCCCCUUUCUCCCCUUUUUCCUUUUUUUUUCCCUUUUUUUUUUUUUUUUUUUUUUUUUUUUUCUCCCCCCCCCCCCUCCCUCCCUUUUUCCCUCCUCCUCUGGGUGUGCGCACGCCGCAAACCUCCCCCUUCCCUCCCCUCCCUCCCCUCCCUCCCCAACGCUGCCCAGCCGCGGGCAGGGGGCCGGGGGAGGCAGGCGCGGGGGCGCGCACGGGGGCGAGGCGGCGCGCUGCGCUGAAGGUCAGAGCGCAGGAGCUGGGUGCGGAGGGGCUGCGAUGCCCUGGGGAGGGGGAUACGGAGGAGAAGGGAAGGGGGCAGAGAGAACGGGAUGCCGGGGUGAGGCUCCGCUGCUCCUCCCAAUUAAUGCGCUCGCAGCGCUGUGCCGCCGCGUCUGGCUGUCUGGCUGCCCCCCCCCUCCUUUUCUGCCUCCUCCUCCUCCUCCUCCUCCUCCUCCUCGCUGGCCGCCUCCGCCCGCCGCAGUCAGCGCUGGUAAACAACAGCCCCGGCGCCGCUCCGCCGCCGCCGCCGCUUCUCCCCUCUGCGGCCGCGCGGGGACGGGGAGCGCGCUCCCGCCCUUCCCCGGGCGCGCUCCCGCGCCACUCGCCCAGGCGGCGGCGGCGGCGCGCGGGGCGGGGCGGGUGCGCCCCGAAGCUGGCGCUCGGCGCGGUUCGGGUCCGCUCGGGUCGGUUCGGAUCCGUUCGGAUCCGUUCGGCUCCGCUCGGAGGCGGCCAUGUGGCAUCGCCUCCAUGGGCAGCGCCCGGGUGCUUCAAGGCCUGGCUGCCCGGCAGCCUCACCCUGACUGAGGCGUUGUCACCGACCCUGGGGGCUUUUUUUGUCAUCUCUGGGGCAUUUUCGCCACUCCUGGGGGGCAUUUUUGCCAUCCCCGGGGUAUUUUCACCAUCAGGGCAUCUUCAGCAGCACCGUGGGACUGGAUGCUGA